RNAcentral lists this ribosomal RNA (566 nucleotides) under Leucobacter sp. Its description in RNAcentral is "bacterial SSU rRNA". It matches the Rfam family "Bacterial small subunit ribosomal RNA", at positions 109 to 688 of the family's 1533-position model. The record is from RNAcentral. Lineage: Bacteria; Bacillati; Actinomycetota; Actinomycetes; Micrococcales; Microbacteriaceae.
AGUAACACGUGAGUAACCUGCCCUCUACUCUGGGAUAAGCGCUGGAAACGGUGUCUAAUACUGGAUACGACCUUGAACCGCAUGGUUUCUUGGUGGAAAGUUUUUUCGGUAGGGGAUGGACUCCCGGCCUAUCAGCUUGAUGGUGAGGUAAUGGCUCACCAUGGCGACGACGGGUAGCCGGCCUGAGAGGGUGACCGGCCACACUGGGACUGAGACACGGCCCAGACUCCUACGGGAGGCAGCAGUGGGGAAUAUUGCACAAUGGGCGAAAGCCUGAUGCAGCAACGCCGCGUGAGGGAUGACGGCCUUCGGGUUGUAAACCUCUUUUAGUAGGGAAGAAGCUUUUGUGACGGUACCUACAGAAAAAUCACCGGCUAACUACAUGCCAGCAGCCGCGGUAAUACGUAGGGUGCAAGCGUUGUCCGGAAUUAUUGGGCGUAAAGAGCUCGUAGGCGGUUUGUCGCGUCUGCUGUGAAAUCCUAAGGCUCAACCUUAGACUUGCAGUGGGUACGGGCAGGCUUGAGUGCGGUAGGGGAGAUUGGAAUUCCUGGUGUAGCGGUGGAAUG